AUGCAGUGAUGAUCCUUUAAGUGGUGGUUUCAAUUCACUGAGUGUUGAAUGAAGACCUGUAUUUCCUUGGCUGUGUCUGAGCAC
RNAcentral lists this small nucleolar RNA (84 nucleotides) under Callipepla squamata (scaled quail). Its description in RNAcentral is "Small nucleolar RNA SNORD53/SNORD92". It matches the Rfam family "Small nucleolar RNA SNORD53/SNORD92". From Rfam's summary of the family: U53 is a member of the C/D class of snoRNA which contain the C (UGAUGA) and D (CUGA) box motifs. Most of the members of the box C/D family function in directing site-specific 2'-O-methylation of substrate RNAs. Lineage: Eukaryota; Metazoa; Chordata; Aves; Galliformes; Odontophoridae. The record is from Rfam by way of RNAcentral.